AAGGGCGGGACUAAUGCAGCAGGUUAGCGUGGGGAGUAGUGAGCACAUGUAGAGAAAGAAACCUGACCGGACUGAGAGCUAAGAGGAGGCAUCGUAGUGUGGGAAGCAGUUAAGUUUUAUCGUGAGGUCGACUACUCGUGGUCCUGAUUUAAACUUCUUUGUGACCUGCAAAAAGGAGCUGGACGUUGGAGAGAGGGGUCUCCAGCAGAUGGCCUUGCUGUUUUCUGUGUUUUCUUCCUUGUGACUUCGCCACCGCCAUUGCCCACGUGUGUGUUUGGAUUGCCACCGCCAUUGCCAUUAUCUUCGUGAGAAUAUCAUCCCCCAAUCCCUUUCUGCCCCUACUAAUUACACCCUGGAUUUCGUGAGUACUGACUUACACAUUGCACGUGCUUUUAUUUUGAGCUCAAGCUGAGUGAAGCGGCCAGUACAGUUUUUAGGCCCCACCACACACAAGCUUCAACUAACAGGCCUGCAACGGGUUAACCUAAUUUAAAGUGUUGUUGUUAAUUUGGUUGUGUGUGGUACAUUGAGUUUGCAUUGUUGUAAAUUGGAGAAUCCCGUGCAUCUGAUUUUAUUUUAUUUGUUUAUUUGUUUUCUUUUCCUAAAAUACAUUCGACUAGUAUUUCAUUUUGUGAAUAAAUAUGUGAUUGAAUACUUUUACAUUUA
Gadus morhua (Atlantic cod) is the source of this 666-nucleotide long non-coding RNA. RefSeq lists it as uncharacterized. The transcript is spliced from 2 exons. The record is from RefSeq and is a predicted model, not a curated record. NCBI's taxonomy places the organism in Eukaryota, Metazoa, Chordata, Actinopteri, Gadiformes, Gadidae.